Molecule: ribosomal RNA, 484 nt
Filed under: uncultured bacterium
Lineage: Bacteria
Description: partial 16S ribosomal RNA
Rfam family: Bacterial small subunit ribosomal RNA
Source: RNAcentral
AUUGAACGCUGGCGGCAGGCCUAACACAUGCAAGUCGAGCGGAUGAAGGGAGCUUGCUCCUGGAUUCAGCGGCGGACGGGUGAGUAAUGCCUAGGAAUCUGCCUGGUAGUGGGGGAUAACGUCCGGAAACGGGCGCUAAUACCGCAUACGUCCUGAGGGAGAAAGUGGGGGAUCUUCGGACCUCACGCUAUCAGAUGAGCCUAGGUCGGAUUAGCUAGUUGGUGGGGUAAAGGCCUACCAAGGCGACGAUCCGUAACUGGUCUGAGAGGAUGAUCAGUCACCCGGGAACUGAGACACGGUCCAGACUCCUACGGGAGGCAGCAGUGGGGAAUAUUGGACAAUGGGCGAAAGCCUGAUCCAGCCAUGCCGCGUGUGUGAAGAAGGUCUUCGGAUUGUAAAGCACUUUAAGUUGGGAGGAAGGGCAGUAAGUUAAUACCUUGCUGUUUUGACGUUACCAACAGAAUAAGCACCGGCUAACUUCGUG